UCAGGACGAACGCUGGCGGCGUGCCUAAUACAUGCAAGUCGAACGGCUUUUCUAUGGAAGCUUGCUUCCACUGAGAAGAUGGUGGCGAACGGGUGAGUAACACGUGGGUAACCUGCCCAUAAGAGGGGGAUAACAUCCGGAAACGGGUGCUAAUACCGCAUAGUUUUCUUGAUCGCAUGAUCGGGAAAGGAAAGACGGCCUUUGUGCUGUCGCUUAUGGAUGGACCCGCGGCGUAUUAGUUAGUUGGUGAGGUAACGGCUCACCAAGACGAUGAUACGUAGCCGACCUGAGAGGGUGAUCGGCCACAUUGGGACUGAGACACGGCCCAAACUCCUACGGGAGGCAGCAGUAGGGAAUCUUCCGCAAUGGACGAAAGUCUGACGGAGCAACGCCGCGUGAGUGAAAGAAGGUUUUCGGAUCGUAAAACUCUGUUGUCAGAGAAGAACAAGUUGGAGAGUAACUGCUCCAGCCUUGACGGUAUCUGACCAGAAAGCCACGGCUAACUACGUGCCAGCCGCGGC
RNAcentral lists this ribosomal RNA (521 nucleotides) under uncultured bacterium. RNAcentral's name for it is "bacterial SSU rRNA". It matches the Rfam family "Bacterial small subunit ribosomal RNA", at positions 24 to 518 of the family's 1533-position model. The record is from RNAcentral.